Molecule: long non-coding RNA, 904 nt
Organism: Canis lupus familiaris (dog)
Lineage: Eukaryota; Metazoa; Chordata; Mammalia; Carnivora; Canidae
Exons: 2
Source: RefSeq, a predicted model, not a curated record
UCUACAGCAUUAACCUGAGUUUGAGAAGCCAAAUAUUUUGCCCAAGGUCACAUGUGGAUAGCAGUAGAUGGGAGAUGGCCAAGCUGCAGGAGGUGCACUCGUUUUAAUCCAGUCAAGAAGAUGGACCUUUCAUAUGAGGAAUUGGGUAUAUAGGUACACACUGAGAUAGCAACUGCUGGAAGCAGCUACCACAGCUGGAGCUGGAAGAACAAAAGAAUAAGGUUGGGCUUGUCAGCACAAACAAACUUGGAGUGGGACUCUCUGGAGUUUAUACUGAGACCCCUGAAAAGAGCACAUCAGCCAACAGGGCUGAUACUUCUGAGGGGUACACUGAAAUACAAUGAGAGUUUAGAAAAAAAUCUGAAACUAGACCAGGUGUUGCAGCCAAAGUGAUGUUAACAGAAAGGGCGAGCAGACAGGAGAGAGCAGCUUCUUUUUCUCUCCUCCACUCUUCUAAUGUUCCUCUAAAGUUCCCUAUAGCAGAACUUAACAAGGGGCCCACUGGGUGGGAGAAAUGUGGUUCUCACAUUUCCAGUUCCAGGAUACAAGGAAUGUAGGAGGGUGGGUUUGGAGCUGAACCGCCAUAGUUUUAUUAUCAACUGCUCUUGGAUCAUCUGCCUACUUGUUGGACAACACUUACACUUACCCCUAUGGGCCUCUUCCACUCAGUAAUCUCCAACUUAUGUCCUUGUAUGCAGUAUAGUGAGCACUAGUAAUAUCCCAGGUUGAACACCUGGUAGAAAAGGAGUUGACUCUGAGGAUCCUACUGAAAAGACCUGUAAAGCUGUAACUGCCAGAGGCUUCUGAGGCCAGAAACUGUCAUCAACUAUUUUCUUUGCUUACAAGAGCAGCUGCCAGAAAACCACGAUUGUAAGACUCUGAUUAAAGCUGGCAGUAGCAGGUA